Molecule: long non-coding RNA, 1054 nt
Organism: Anolis carolinensis (green anole)
Lineage: Eukaryota; Metazoa; Chordata; Lepidosauria; Squamata; Anolidae
Exons: 4
Source: RefSeq, a predicted model, not a curated record
UCCAAGCAUGAGUUAGAAUACAUAAAUGAUUGGGAUUUGGGUGAUCUGGAUUUGUGAAUCCACUUAGCCAUAACAUCUGCAUAACCUUAAUCCAGCCUCUCUGUUUUCAAUCUGACCAAUUUCUUAGGGUUCUUGAGAAGACAAUAUGAAAGAAAAUACUUGAAUGCAGAGUGAUUUAAACAUAGACUUCAGGUGAUGUAUCUGCUAAAGGAACUCUGCUGACCACAGUCUCUCCAACAACAGAAGCAAAGCUGAAGUGGAAUUAAAUGUAACAAAACAGGAUUUUAAGAAAGCCUCUUUCAUUUGCACAAAUGUUAUUUUCACUAAACAUAAGAUUCAGACCCCAUCUGACUGUGCAUCAGGAAAAAGACUAUUCCCAGAGAAGUUCCCAAGUUUUUCUUAGGGGAAGAAAAGGGUUUAAUCAAUUUGGGGGACUUCCAAACUCUCCUUGAAAUGUUCUUGCAGAAACUAGAGAGCAUCGCUGUGUUUUACCAAUCAACAACACCAAAGAAUCUCUGCCCCACCCCCACCCCCCAGCCAAAUGGUAUAAAAAACACAGCAUCCUGAUUUUCUUCCGCAAAAAGGAUAUAAACUGCAAAAAAACUAAUGGUUUUAAGCUGCUGCUCUUCCUUUGGUGGCCCAGUGUUGUGAGCCCCUUUGUGCCUCGAUCAAGAGAUAAAAGUACGAUAAUAACAGCAGAAGAAGCAGAAGCAGAAGUGGUGUUACAUGAACGUGUUUCCUUUUCCAAAGUUCAUGGCAGAAGCAGCCUUCCUUAGAUUUACUGAACUCAUCUCAGUAGUUAUUCAGCCGGGCUGUGGCGCAGGCUGUUGAUCAACCAGCUGCAGCCAGCUGCAAUGAAUCACUCUGACCAGGAGGUCAUGAGUUCGAGGCCAGCUCGGAGUCCCGUGUUUGUCUUGUCUUUGUUCUAUGUUAAGGCAUUGAAUGUUUGCCUUAUAUGUGUAAUGUGAUCCGCCCUGAGUUCCCUUCGGGGUGAGAAGGGCGGAAUAUAAAUACUGUAAGUAAAUAAAUAAAAUAAAUAUUUUGUUUUAAUCUA